Molecule: long non-coding RNA, 939 nt
Organism: Zea mays
Lineage: Eukaryota; Viridiplantae; Streptophyta; Magnoliopsida; Poales; Poaceae
Exons: 2
Source: RefSeq, a predicted model, not a curated record
CAGAAAUCUCGUCCUCGAGAUUUGUAAGAGAAAAAGGAUGUAGAAGGAUUGGUUUGUAAUUCAGCUUUUAGUUUCUAAUUGGUUCCAAAAUAAAGAAUUUUUUUAUAGGUAUGGGUAUAUAUAUAUAUAUACAACCAUCCAAUGUGUAAAAAAUGUUUUUAAAGCAUGGAUAGGCUUGGGUAGGACAUAGUAGGGUAAGGAAAGACUCCAUCCAAGACUUGUGGAUCCUGAUUCCUUUGAAGAUCUAGCUUAAAUCCUAUCCUUCCUUGAUUUGAUGAGGUCGAUCAUCUUCGAUCUUCGGCCUUGGAAUCGUCACCCAAGUUGGGGACAUAUAGUUAAGAUGGCUUGUAGGUAGGGACAAAUGGUUAGUGGAUAGGUCGCAUAAAAUGAGUGUUGACCUGGCAUAAUCUAGCUUCCUUUGGGGUCUAGCUUGAUUCCUAUUCUUUAAUGAGAUUGAUCUCUUCCUUCUUGAGCUUUGAUGUAUCCAUCCGAGUUUGGGACAAAAGGUCAAGAUAGAUCUAUAGGUAACAGAUGGGUAGAGGGUUUAGUAGGUAGCUAUAUGCUAGAUGGGAUUAGUUAUGUAACCUGUUAUGUAGGUCAAGUUGUUGAGUAUGGCCAAGUUGAUUUAAGUCACCAAUUUAGUCUUAAGUGAAUUACGAGUAUGGCCAUAUCUUUUUUUACCAGCAUUAAGAAUCACCCACUAGGUUAAAUCAUAUUAGAUUAGAUAGGGUCUAGAUUAGAUUGGGUAUGACUAGAUUAGACUAGUUUAGGCUAGAUAGAUCUACUAAGGUAGGAUAAAUAUUAUUAGGAUAUGUUAGAAUUUUUUUUGAGAUAGGAUGGAUCUAUUAAGCUAGAUAUAUUUUAAUUAGGAUAAGUUAGGAUCUUUUGGGAUGAGAUGGAUCUAUGAGUGUAUGAUAGAAUCUUUUAUGAUGAGAUGGA